RNAcentral lists this ribosomal RNA (1420 nucleotides) under metagenome. RNAcentral's name for it is "bacterial LSU rRNA". It matches the Rfam family "Bacterial large subunit ribosomal RNA", at positions 1497 to 2925 of the family's 2925-position model. The record is from RNAcentral.
UUCGGAAAUGUGUGUCCAAGCAGCAAGUCUGAGAACGAGUGAAAUGCUUUUUCUCUCAAGGACAAGCUGUGAUGGGGAGCGAAAUUUAGUAGCGAAGUUCCUGAUGUCACACUGCCAAGAAAAGCUUCUAGUGAGAAAGUAACUGCCCGUACCGCAAACCGACACAGGUAGUUGAGGAGAGAAUCCUAAGGUGUGCGAGAGAACUCUCGUUAAGGAACUCGGCAAAAUGACCCCGUAACUUCGGGAGAAGGGGUGCUGACCGCAAGGUCAGCCGCAGUGAAUAGGCCCAAGCGACUGUUUAUCAAAAACACAGGUCUCUGCAAAAUCGAAAGAUGACGUAUAGGGGCUGACGCCUGCCCGGUGCUGGAAGGCUAAGAGGAGAGGUUAGCGCAAGCGAAGCUUUGAAUUGAAGCCCCAGUAAACGGCGGCCGUAACCAUAACGGUCCUAAGGUAGCGAAAUUCCUUGUCGGGUAAGUUCCGACCCGCACGAAAGGCGUAACGAUUUGGGCACUGUCUCAACGAGAGACUCGGUGAAAUUAUAGUACCAGUGAAGAUGCUGGUUACCCGCGACAGGACGGAAAGACCCCAUGGAGCUUUACUGCAGUUUGAUAUUGCGUGUUUGUAUCACAUGUACAGGAUAGGUAGGAGCCGAAGAUACCGGGACGCCAGUCUCGGAGGAGGCAACGGUGGGAUACUACCCUUGUGAUAUGACCACUCUAACCCGCUGCCCUUGGCGAGCAGGGAGACAGUGUCAGACGGGCAGUUUGACUGGGGCGGUCGCCUCCAAAAAUGUAACGGAGGCGCCCAAAGGUUCCCUCAGAAUGGUUGGAAAUCAUUCGUAGAGUGUAAAGGCAGAAGGGAGCUUGACUGCGAGACCUACAAGUCGAGCAGGGACGAAAGUCGGGCUUAGUGAUCCGGUGGUUCCGCAUGGAAGGGCCAUCGCUCAACGGAUAAAAGCUACCCUGGGGAUAACAGGCUUAUCUCCCCCAAGAGUUCACAUCGACGGGGAGGUUUGGCACCUCGAUGUCGGCUCAUCGCAUCCUGGGGCUGUAGUCGGUCCCAAGGGUUGGGCUGUUCGCCCAUUAAAGCAGUACGCGAGCUGGGUUCAGAACGUCGUGAGACAGUUCGGUCCCUAUCCGUCGCGGGCGUUGGAAAUUUGAGAGGAGCUGUCCUUAGUACGAGAGGACCGGGAUGGACACACCGCUGGUGUACCAGUUGUUCUGCCAAGAGCAUCGCUGGGUAGCUAUGUGUGGACGGGAUAAACGCUGAAAGCAUCUAAGCGUGAAGCCCCCCUCAAGAUGAGAUUUCCCAUCACUUUAAGUGAGUAAGACCCCUGAGAGAUGAUCAGGUAGAUAGGUUGGGAGUGGAAGUACAGCGAUGUAUGGAGCGGACCAAUACUAAUCGGUCGAGGACUUAACUG